This 302-nucleotide long non-coding RNA is filed under the name Ananas comosus (pineapple). RNAcentral's name for it is "long non-coding RNA (ACOM_LNC021718)". The record is from RNAcentral. Lineage: Eukaryota; Viridiplantae; Streptophyta; Magnoliopsida; Poales; Bromeliaceae.
CAGUACUCACGUGCAAGUACAGCAGCGGUGAGAAAAGUAUUGAUUUUUUGUGUUAUUGCAUGAAAGCAAAUUAACGAAUUACAUCCACAUAAAAUUAUGAGUCACAGACGCAAAAGCUAAGCCAGAAGAGCCUAGCAGACUCCGACUGUUUCUAGUGCAAGUGGCAAAGGACUUGGUGGUUGGUAUUCGAGACCCAAGUUCAAAUCCUAGUUGAUUCACAUUUUCAGCUAAGCUUAUUUCUAAAUAAAAUAAACGAAGCGGGUAGCAUGCUAUCUUUCUCUCUCUCUCAAAAAAAAAAAAAA